AUUAAUUUUUUUUAUUAGUUGGUAUUGCAUAUCAUUUAAAGAAAAUUUUAUAUUUAAUAAAAAAUAGAAUUAAAAGGUAGAAAAUGUAUUUUUUUUAUUGUUUCAUAAUAAAAAUUAUAUUUUUUAGGGUUGAAAAGUCGACUUUUAAGAUUUCUGUGUAAUGUUUUAAAAUUAGAAAUUUAUUAUUUAAAGAUUAUUUUAAUUAUAAACAGUAAAAGUUGAAGUAUUUAUUAUUUUAGUUUUAUAACAGUUUAUAGAUUUUGUAGUUGCAAUUGGUUGUUUUAGUAAUAAUUUUAUAUUAUUUUUAUUAUUUUAAAAUUAGUAAAUGUUUAAAAAUAUUAUUUAAUGUAUUUAAUAUAAUAAAAAAACUAAAUAGUUAAUCAAAUGUUUUUUAAAGACUUAGAUUUUCAGGUAAAGUUUGCUUCUGCCCAGUGAUUAUUUUUAAAUGGCAGUCUUAGCGUGAGGACAUUAAGGUAGCAAAAUAAUUUGUGCUUUUAUUGGGUUCCAGUAUGAAUGAAGUUAUUGGUUAAUUUAUUUUUUAGUUUUUUUAUUGAAUUUUUUUUCAAUAAUAAAAAGUUAUUGUCGUAACAAAACAAAGAUAAGUCUUCGGAAAUUUUAUUUUUAGAAUAACAAUGGUUGUUUUAAAAAGUUUUCUAGGGCAGAAUUUUAUAUAAUAAUUUAAAUCUAUUAAUAAUUUUUAAAAUUACUCCGGAGUUAACAGAAAAUCAUACCUAAUCUAGUUCUUAUAGUAAGGUAAGUUUACAUCGAUGUUGUAUUUAAGUUUAUUAAAAAAGGAGAAAUUUUAAUUUUUAAGACUGUUCUUCUUUUAAUUAACUUAACGUGAUAUUAGUUUAAUUCAUUGUGAGAUAGAAUUGUUUAUCUUGUUUGUUACUGGGUUAUAGUUUUAACAGUAGGAAAGGAAAAUUAAAAAAAGUUUUAAACUUUUAAAGAGUUAAUUCUCA
Molecule: ribosomal RNA, 962 nt
Filed under: Chabertia ovina (large-mouth bowel worm)
Lineage: Eukaryota; Metazoa; Nematoda; Chromadorea; Rhabditida; Strongylidae
Description: large subunit ribosomal RNA
Source: RNAcentral